CUUGGAGGAAUGUAUAGCAACUGCUAGUUGCACUAAGAAACCUAGUGUAAAAUCAACUUAGUUGAAUAAAAUUCUGGGUAGAAUUAUGAUAAUGACAUUAUCUGUCCAUAAGUCUUGACCAAAUUACGUGCCAGCAGUCGCGGUAAUACGUAGAAGACAAGUGUUAUUCAUCUUUAAUAGGUUUAAAGGGUACUUAGACGGUAAAUCAAGCCUAAAAAAGGGACUAAUUUGCUAGAGUUUUAUGUGAAAAAGUUUUAAAGUACUGCUGGUGUAGAGAUGAAAUUCGGUAAUACCUUGAAUGGCACAGGUUAUGGCGAAAGCAUCUUUUUAUGUAAAAACUGACGUUGAAGGACGAAGGCUUUGUGUCUCGAACAGGAUUAGAUACCCUAGUAGUCUAAGCAGACAAUGAUGAAUGUCAUAGAUUAGAAGUAGUUUGAUCUAUAAAUGAAAGUGUAAGCAUUCCACCUCAAGAGUAAUUUGGCAACAUUGGAACUGAAAUCAUUAGACCGUUUCUGAAACCAGUAGUGAAGUAUGUUGUUUAAUUUGAUAAUCCGCAAAAAACCUUACCACAAUGUGAAUAGAUAUAUUUUAUCAUACAAGUGUUGCACGGCUGUCUUCAGUUAAUGUCGUGAGACUUUGGUUAGUUCCAUAAAAUUAACGUAAACCCUUGCUUUAUUUACUUAUAAAGUAGUUCACCGGUACAUUGGAUGUGAUAACAGGGAUCAAGACAAGUCAUCAUGACCUAAAUAUUGUGGGCU
Molecule: ribosomal RNA, 758 nt
Filed under: Seirophora villosa
Lineage: Eukaryota; Fungi; Ascomycota; Lecanoromycetes; Teloschistales; Teloschistaceae
Description: mitochondrial SSU rRNA
Rfam family: Bacterial small subunit ribosomal RNA
Source: RNAcentral